UGGGGAAUUUUGGACAAUGGGCGCAAGCCUGAUCCAGCAAUGCCGCGUGCAGGAUGAAGGCCUUCGGGUUGUAAACUGCUUUUGUACGGAGCGAAAAGGCUUCUUCUAAUACAGGAGGCUCAUGACGGUACCGUAAGAAUAAGCACCGGCUAACUACGUGCCAGCAGCCGCGGUAAUACGUAGGGUGCAAGCGUUAAUCGGAAUUACUGGGCGUAAAGCGUGCGCAGGCGGUGAUGUAAGACAGAGGUGAAAUCCCCGGGCUCAACCUGGGAACUGCCUUUGUGACUGCAUCGCUAGAGUACGGUAGAGGGGGGUGGAAUUCCGCGUGUAGCAGUGAAAUGCGUAGAUAUGCGGAGGAACACCGAUGGCGAAGGCAGCCCCCUGGACCUGUACUGACGCU
This 400-nucleotide ribosomal RNA is filed under the name uncultured bacterium. RNAcentral describes it as "bacterial SSU rRNA". It matches the Rfam family "Bacterial small subunit ribosomal RNA", at positions 355 to 747 of the family's 1533-position model. The record is from RNAcentral.